CUUCCGGUUCCUUCUGUACCCAUGCCGGUGUUUCUAUUUCCGGGUUGCUUUGUGUGUCUGUGUGCAAUGUACUCGGAGGAUAAAGCUGAGUCAGGUGAAAAAGAUCUGAUAAAACUUACUGGGAAAGACUAAUGGAUGAUUUAGAUUAUAACAAUACAUUGGAACUAGAAGAAAGGGAUACAAAACUCGAUGGUGUGGACUCCUUAAUGGAACAUCUUACACUAAUUCAAAUUGAUCUGGAAACUGCCUCAACUGGUUCACCGUCUGAAAUUGUGUCCUGUUCGAGAAAUGUUUUAAGAAAGCAGAGGCACUGGGAAAACAUUAUCAUGGCUAGAAAGAGUAAAAGAAAACAGGAAAAGGAAAGAAGAAAAAUAAAGCUGUCGGGAAACACUGAUACAGGUACUAGCCAACAGUUGCACAGUAAAAGAUUUUUAAAAGCUUUAACCAAAGAGCGUCUUUUAGAAGCAAAGGAUUCUGGUCCAAGACUUUGUAUUGACUUAAGCAUGACAGAUCACAUGAGCAAAAAGGAAUUGGGUCGUCUGGCAGCUCAGAUCAGGAGGCUUUAUGGGUCAAACAAGAAAGCUGCAAAACCAUUCUGGCUGUAUCUGACAGGCUUUGUACAACACAGUCUGUUAUAUGAUGAAUGUUUGCGAAUGAAUGACGGAUUUGUCAAUUAUCUUGUUGACUCAACAGAAAGCAACUUUCUUGACAUGUUUCCAUUAGAAUCGAUCAUAUAUCUUACUCCAGACUCGGACCAUGUACUUGAAGAUAUUGAUCCAUAUAAAGUAUAUGUUCUGGGAGGACUGGUUGAUGAAAGUAUUCAAAAGAAAGUAACAUAUCACAAAGCUAAAGAAAAUGGCCUGCAGACUGCACGACUGCCAAUUCAAGAGUAUAUGGUUAAGAGAGAAAAUGAGAAAAAUUUUCACUCUGAGAUACUGGCCAUUAAUCAAGAUAUUUUCUAGACAUAAUCACAAGGGGCCUGGUGGAGACUGCAGUGAGAAAUACCUCCAUCCAGACCAUGCCGAUCCUCCUGGUGUUCCCCUGUUGUGGCUUUUGCUUGCUCCGUCUCCUCAGCUCCCGAGCUGGAUGCACUUCACGGCCGCCAUCCUGAUAUCCAGCGUUUGGAAAUUCAUUUCAGCCCAUUGAUACAAAAUUCAUGCAUCUGCCCCUGAAGAAGCGAGCAGGGUCUCGCGAAACUAGUAGGGCUUUAUUGAUGCUUGUUUUAUGCCUGCACAUGCUGGA
Molecule: RNA transcript, 1242 nt
Organism: Rana temporaria (common frog)
Lineage: Eukaryota; Metazoa; Chordata; Amphibia; Anura; Ranidae
Gene: TRMT10B
Gene name: tRNA methyltransferase 10B
Exons: 10
Source: RefSeq, a predicted model, not a curated record